RNAcentral lists this ribosomal RNA (484 nucleotides) under uncultured bacterium. RNAcentral's name for it is "partial 16S ribosomal RNA". It matches the Rfam family "Bacterial small subunit ribosomal RNA", at positions 29 to 507 of the family's 1533-position model. The record is from RNAcentral.
AUUGAACGCUGGCGGCAUGCUUUACACAUGCAAGUCGAACGGCAGCGCGGGCUUCGGCCUGGCGGCGAGUGGCGAACGGGUGGGUAAUACAUCGGAACGUGCCCAGUAGUGGGGGAUAGCUCGGCGAAAGCCGGAUUAAUACCGCAUACGACCUGAGGGUGAAAGCGGGGGAUCUUCGGACCUCGCGCUAUUGGAGCGGCCGAUGGCAGAUUAGCUAGUUGGUGGGGUAAAGGCCUACCAAGGCGACGAUCUGUAGCUGGUCUGAGAGGACGACCAGCCACACUGGGACUGAGACACGGCCCAGACUCCUACGGGAGGCAACAGUGGGGAAUUUUGGACAAUGGGCGAAAGCCUGAUCCAGCAAUGCCGCGUGUGUGAUGAAGGCCUUCGGGUUGUAAAGCACUUUUGGCGGGAACGAAAAGGACUGUGCCAAUACCACGGUUCGAUGACGGUACCCGCAGAAUAAGCACCGGCUAACUACGUG